GCCCCCCUGCAGCAGAUGAGGGUAAUGUGCGGUGUUCAGUCACAGAGGGCGAAGCAGGACAGCAGCAGCUCAUCUGACCGGGGUUAACAUUGACCAAAUCCCUUGUGCAUUCUUAACCGAACCCCUGCUGAGGAUUCUGGGAACCAUCGAUUCAUGCUGUAUCCUCCGAGGUAAUCGGUGCAGGUGGCUCCGUUCUGGCAGGGGUUCGGCAUGCAUUCAUCCACCUGCUCCUGACAGUAGCUGCCCGUGUAUCCGGCUUGACAUCUGCACAGGUUCAUGGUUCUUUGAUGUCGGUGAACAGUCACAUGACAUGCAGCUCGGUUCCUGCAGGCACUUCCUUAUCUGUUUCCACGGUGACCAGCCGUAGCAGGAAGUCACUUGGAGUUUCCUUCUAUUGUCAAUUCUUUGCCUCAACAGGAAACAGGAAGGGGCCAAACAGGAAAUAAACCUAUUUGAGUAGCCACCCUUGACACAGUGGUGUUAUUUCACGUCCCCACAUAGUUUUACGCACACCUCUGCAAAGUUUCAAAACAAAAAAACAGCUGCACAAUGGGUGUUUGUGUAUG
Megalobrama amblycephala (Wuchang bream) is the source of this 566-nucleotide long non-coding RNA. RefSeq lists it as uncharacterized. The record is from RefSeq and is a predicted model, not a curated record. The transcript is spliced from 4 exons. NCBI's taxonomy places the organism in Eukaryota, Metazoa, Chordata, Actinopteri, Cypriniformes, Xenocyprididae.